RNAcentral lists this ribosomal RNA (741 nucleotides) under uncultured bacterium. RNAcentral describes it as "bacterial SSU rRNA". It matches the Rfam family "Bacterial small subunit ribosomal RNA", at positions 94 to 823 of the family's 1533-position model. The record is from RNAcentral.
AGCGGCGGACGGGUGAGUAACACGUGGGUAACCUGCCCAAGAGACUGGGAUAACACCUGGAAACAGAUGCUAAUACCGGAUAACAACACUAGACGCAUGUCUAGAGUUUGAAAGAUGGUUCUGCUAUCACUCUUGGAUGGACCUGCGGUGCAUUAGCUAGUUGGUAAGGUAACGGCUUACCAAGGCAAUGAUGCAUAGCCGAGUUGAGAGACUGAUCGGCCACAUUGGGACUGAGACACGGCCCAAACUCCUACGGGAGGCAGCAGUAGGGAAUCUUCCACAAUGGACGAAAGUCUGAUGGAGCAACGCCGCGUGAGUGAAGAAGGGUUUCGGCUCGUAAAGCUCUGUUGGUAGUGAAGAAAGAUAGAGGUAGUAACUGGCCUUUAUUUGACGGUAAUUACUUAGAAAGUCACGGCUAACUACGUGCCAGCAGCCGCGGUAAUACGUAGGUGGCAAGCGUUGUCCGGAUUUAUUGGGCGUAAAGCGAGUGCAGGCGGUUCAAUAAGUCUGAUGUGAAAGCCUUCGGCUCAACCGGAGAAUUGCAUCAGAAACUGUUGAACUUGAGUGCAGAAGAGGAGAGUGGAACUCCAUGUGUAGCGGUGGAAUGCGUAGAUAUAUGGAAGAACACCAGUGGCGAAGGCGGCUCUCUGGUCUGCAACUGACGCUGAGGCUCGAAAGCAUGGGUAGCGACAGGAUUAGAUACCCUGGUAGUCCAUGCCGUAAACGAUGAGUGCUAAGUGU